Molecule: non-coding RNA, 1245 nt
Organism: Peromyscus maniculatus bairdii (prairie deer mouse)
Lineage: Eukaryota; Metazoa; Chordata; Mammalia; Rodentia; Cricetidae
Source: RefSeq, a predicted model, not a curated record
AAAAGUAAAUUAGUGGUUGCUUCAGGUUGAUGGAGGGAGGGCAGGAGAGGGAUGGUUGCUGUUGGGCACUGGCCUUCUCUUUCAGGUGAUGGGAAUGUUCAAGGGCUGGCUGUGGUGAGGGCUUCAUACACACGUGUGUGUAAAAUCCCCAGCACAGUUUGUGUUUCUUUUUUCAUCGCUGUCACAAAAUGCUUGACAAUAGCAACUUAAGGAAAAAAGAGAGGGAGGGAUGGUUUGCUUAGGCUCGUAGUCUGAGAGGGUGGCAGGCGGACAUAGUGGAGAAGAGUGAGGCGGUGGGUCGCAUCAUGGCCACAGUCAGAAAACACAGAGACAAAUGACGAGCUUAACUGACUUUUUCCUGUUUCUUUUUCAUUCAGUUUAGGACACCAGUCCAUGGAAUGGUGCCACCCUUGUUCAGAGCAUGUCUUCCAUUCUCAGUUAAACAUCUCUGAAACACCCACACAGAUACACCCAGAGGGAUUUAGGAAUGUGUCUCCACUGAGCAUGUCUGAAGACUUCUGGAAGACCUGCAGAGUGGGUGGCAUUGUGCUCACAGCCACUAAGUGUGACAGGCAGCAUCACGAAGGCUCCAUGUAUCACCCAGGAUGGGAGAGCAGCAACACCUGAGCAUGUGGCUGUGGACUGAGCCCCAACAAGCUUCAAAGUAGCAAUGGCCUGGGUGAAGGAGGCUCAGAUCUGACCUCCUACUUGCUUCACUGUGGCAGCAGGAGCCCUCUGAGCUCCCCCAGGAGGGAACAAAGGAAAAAAGAUUUUGUAGACAAACUUCAAGAUACACUAUAAUGGAAACAGUAAUUUUGAAAGUUGCCGUCAAGGAGCAAGAUUGGAUCAGACCCUUCACUGGUGAUAUUCCCCUUAGACCUCAACACAACUCCAUGAAGUAGGGUCUUUGAGUGACCUGAAGCUCAGAAAUGUCAAGUGACUCCCUAAGGUUGCCCAGCUGCAUGGCUGGCCCAGCUCUGCUGGACUUCAAAGCCUGGACCCCUUCGAUGCUACCCCCGUGCCAGGCUGAUGGUUAUCUUCCCCGAGUUCUCAUUUUCCCGGCUUGCUCUGGCUCCUCUCAACUUCUUCCCCAUUUUUUCCACAAAUGUUCAAGGAGAGAUUCACUCCCGUCAGAUCAAUGUUACUGCUGUAAUGAAAACCACCAUCCAGACCCAUGGAGGACGAGGUUUGUGGGACCCUAAUGAGAAUGGUUCCGAUUAUGUAGAAAGCAACCUCGUGGUUAUU